Molecule: unclassified non-coding RNA, 368 nt
Filed under: Hevea brasiliensis (rubber tree)
Lineage: Eukaryota; Viridiplantae; Streptophyta; Magnoliopsida; Malpighiales; Euphorbiaceae
Source: RNAcentral
CAUCCUCAUCUUGUGAAGCUGAUUGGUUAUUGCUUAGAGGAUGAACACAGGCUUUUGGCGUAUGAGUUCAUGCCUCGUGGCAGCUUGGAAAAUCAUUUAUUUAGGAGAGGGUCUUACUUCCAGCCUCUUUCUUGGAAUCUCCGGUUGAAGGUUGCUCUGGGUGCUGCAAAAGGGCUUGCAUUUCUUCAUAGUGCUGAAAAUAAAGUCAUAUAUCGAGACUUCAAGACUUCUAACAUUUUACUUGAUUCGAAAUACAAUGCAAAGCUCUCUGAUUUUGGGUUGGCCAAGGAUGGUCCAACGGGUGAUAAGAGUCAUGUGUCUACCAGGGUUAUGGGUACCUAUGGAUAUGCAGCUCCAGAAUAUCUAGC